This 87-nucleotide transfer RNA is filed under the name Cordylochernes scorpioides. Its description in RNAcentral is "tRNA-Val". The record is from RNAcentral. Lineage: Eukaryota; Metazoa; Arthropoda; Arachnida; Pseudoscorpiones; Chernetidae.
UGUCCAAUGCGGGGAUCGAACCCGGGUCGUAGUGGUCGUAAACCAAACGGUUUAACCAGCCUUCCACCGACCUGACCUGAGAUAAAC